CCUACGGGAGGCUGCAGUGGGGAAUAUUGGACACUGGGGGGAACCCUGAUCCAGCGACGCCGCGUGAGUGAAGAAGUUUUUAGGUAUGUAAAGCUCUAUCAGUAGGGAAGCAAAUGACGGUACUUGACUAAGAAGCCCCGGCUAACUACGUGCCAGCAGCCGCGGUCAUACGUAGGGGGCAAGCGUUAUCCGGAUUUACUGGGUGUAAAGGGAGCGUAGACGGUGAAGCAAGUCUGAUGUGAAAGGUCGGGGCCCAAACCCGGGACUGCAUUGGAAACUGUUGACAUGGAGUACAGGAGAGGUAAGCGGAAUGCCUAGUGUAGCGGUGAAAUGCGUAGAUAUUAGGAGGAACACCAGUGGCGAAGGCGGCUGACUGGACUGUAACUGACGUUGAGGCUCGAAAGCGUGGGGAGCAAACAGGAUUAGAUACCCCUGUAGUC
This 440-nucleotide ribosomal RNA is filed under the name uncultured bacterium. RNAcentral describes it as "partial 16S ribosomal RNA". It matches the Rfam family "Bacterial small subunit ribosomal RNA", at positions 338 to 795 of the family's 1533-position model. The record is from RNAcentral.